RNAcentral lists this ribosomal RNA (262 nucleotides) under uncultured bacterium. RNAcentral describes it as "partial 16S ribosomal RNA". It matches the Rfam family "Bacterial small subunit ribosomal RNA", at positions 92 to 354 of the family's 1533-position model. The record is from RNAcentral.
CGACCGGCGCACGGGUGAGCAACACGUAUGGAACCUGCCCGCAGCAGGGGGAUAAGCGGAAGAAAUUCCGUCUAAUACCGCGUAACAACGUUGGGAGGCAUCUCCCGAUGUUUAAAGAUUUAUCGGCUGCGGAUGGCCAUGCGGCGCAUUAGCUAGUCGGCGGGGUAACGGCCCACCGAGGCGACGAUGCGUAGGGGUUCUGAGAGGAAGGUCCCCCACACUGGUACUGAGACACGGACCAGACUCCUACGGGAGGCAGCAG